UACGAAGGGUGCAAGCGUUACUCGGAAUUACUGGGCGUAAAGGGCGCGUAGGCGGUCCUUCAAGUCAGGCGUGAAAGCCCCGGGCUCAACCUGGGAACCGCGCUUGAGACUGGCGGGCUAGAGUUCGGGAGAGGAUGGUGGAAUUCCCAGUGUAGAGGUGAAAUUCGUAGAUAUUGGGAAGAACACCGAUGGCGAAGGCAGCCAUCUGGACCGACACUGACGCUGAGGCGCGAAAGCGUGGGGAGCAAACAGG
This 253-nucleotide ribosomal RNA is filed under the name uncultured bacterium. RNAcentral describes it as "partial 16S ribosomal RNA". It matches the Rfam family "Bacterial small subunit ribosomal RNA", at positions 524 to 776 of the family's 1533-position model. The record is from RNAcentral.